GGGUGAUCUGCCCUGCACUUUGGGAUAAGCCUGGGAAACUGGGUCUAAUACCGAAUAGGACCGCGCUCUUCAUGGGGUGUGGUGGAAAGCUUUUGCGGUGUGGGAUGGGCCCGCGGCCUAUCAGCUUGUUGGUGGGGUAAUGGCCUACCAAGGCGACGACGGGUAGCCGGCCUGAGAGGGUGACCGGCCACACUGGGACUGAGAUACGGCCCAGACUCCUACGGGAGGCAGCAGUGGGGAAUAUUGCACAAUGGGCGCAAGCCUGAUGCAGCGACGCCGCGUGAGGGAUGACGGCCUUCGGGUUGUAAACCUCUUUCAGUACCGACGAAGCGCAAGUGACGGUAGGUACAGAAGAAGGACCGGCCAACUACGUGCCAGCAGCCGCGGUAAUACGUAGGGUCCGAGCGUUGUCCGGAAUUACUGGGCGUAAAGAGCUCGUAGGUGGUUUGUCGCGUUGUUCGUGAAAACUCACAGCUUAACUGUGGGCGUGCGGGCGAUACGGGCAGACUAGAGUACUGCAGGGGAGACUGGAAUUCCUGGU
RNAcentral lists this ribosomal RNA (541 nucleotides) under uncultured bacterium. RNAcentral describes it as "bacterial SSU rRNA". It matches the Rfam family "Bacterial small subunit ribosomal RNA", at positions 119 to 674 of the family's 1533-position model. The record is from RNAcentral.